This 1162-nucleotide long non-coding RNA is filed under the name Bos indicus x Bos taurus (hybrid cattle). RNAcentral's name for it is "lncRNA (ENSBIXG00005031062.1)". The record is from RNAcentral. Lineage: Eukaryota; Metazoa; Chordata; Mammalia; Artiodactyla; Bovidae.
ACUGGGAAGAAUUGAAGGCAGGAGGAGAAGGGGAUGACAGAGGAUGAGAUGGUUGGAUGGCAUCACCGACUCAAUGGACAUGAGUUUGAGCAAACUCCAGGAGAUUGUGAAGGACAGGGAAGCCUGGCGGGCUGCAGUCCACAGGGUUGCAGAGUCGGACACGACUGAGCGACUGAAUGACAACAGCAGCAACAUUUAACUUCCAGUUGCCCGAUGUCACGAGCACCAUUUCAAGUGCCUAAAGUCUCCACGUGAUCCAUGGCAAACCAUGUUGGAUGGCACAGAUGUAGAACCACCCCUUUGUUGCAGAAAGUCCUACCGGGCCAGACUGACCUAGAGGACAUGAUCUCUGUUCCUAGCUUGGCUUGGGAAAGCAUUUAGACCCCCCCCCCCCCAAAAAAAAAGAAAAAGAAAUAAAGAAAACCCAGCUCUUCUUUACAAACAGGCCGUCCCUCGCAAUGUGGGAAUGUCAGGGCCUCUCGGUGAAGUGAGCAAGAGAGAAGAGAAACAAGAUGCAGCUGAGGUGGGGACGCUGUGUUUUCUCCGAUAUUACUAAGCAACCGUGUCCUAAAAUCUCCGGAGCCAGCGACAGAACUUUGUUUACCAGGAAGAAAGCACUUGAAAAGGAGAAUAUUUGGCGGAAAUGCGCUUUGGGAUUAGCAGAGAGCUGGGAGUGGGGAGGAACGCUGACUGCACCUCGUGAGGACUGUGUGCAUACAGCCACAAGGAGGGGAGAGGAAUGGAAUCUCAAACUCGUUUCCAGCUCCGUCAAGUCCCCAGUCCAUUUCCUGCCAUCGCUAGGACUUCUCACUUUCUUUACGCCCCACCCUAACCUCUGCUUGUCGUUCAGUUGCUUAGUCAGCCCCAUGGACUGCGGCACAACAGGCUUCCCCGUCCUUCACUAUCUCCCGGAGUUUGGUCAGACUCAAGUCCGUUGGGUCGGUGAUGCCAUUCAACCAUCUCAUGCUCUGUCGGCCCCUUCUCCUCCUGCCCUCUGCAUGAAGGGCUAAAGUGAAUGGUGCAGAAAGUCCAGCAUGGGAGGGGACCAAGUGAUGCAGAAGAGGGGUCGCCCGUCCGCAGUGGAUAAACAGGCCCCUGAAUUGUGACCCCUAGCUGAAUGCUUCUGAAUAAAAGUUUCAGGACCACUUGAUCGGCUAAUGUG